AUGGCAGCAAGAACCGUGCAGGGCCUUAGAAGAGACAGAGCAGAGCGGGACAGCAGCAGAGACCCACAUGGGUUGACGUGGCCCCCAACUCCACGGCAUGCUGACCAGGAAGCCCCGGACAAGGCUCCCUGGGAGAAGACCUCCAGCCACCACACAGCUGUGGGCCCCAGGCCGGGCUGCAGUCCUGGAGGGAGCCCGGCCCCUGGAGCACAGCCCUUGGGAGCAGCUGGCUGUGAGAUCCAUGCCACGGAGCUGAAGACCUUUGACUGCGGAACUCUGCUUUUGGAACCAGUUUAGACCAUGAUGAUGUCUUCCGCGUCCCUGUUCCCAGCCUGUCUCAGCUCUGCUCCUCCCCACCUCAGGUCCUGCACCGGCCUUUGCCCUGAACCUGGCCCCUUCCCAGUGGUCACGGUCUGCCCCACCUACUGCCCAGACCAAUGAGAGACCGGGAGAAGCACGCCUGUAGGGGGGUGGGGGUGGAAAUACCUUCACGCCUAAAGUCAGGAUAGCAGCCGCCCCCCACCACCCCCCUGCGGUGCACCAGGGCAGGCUUCCAGAACUCCAUGGGGAGGCUAUGCCAGCUGACCUUCCCGCCUGCCUCUUCAGCCCGACUCCUGCUGCCCGCCCAUUCUUGUUCUCUAGCACCUUGACUUCAGACCAUUCCCCCCACCCGUGGGUCCUGGCCCUGCCCCUUUAUUCUCCCACCAGGAUAUGCAGAGUGUCAGCUAAGACUUUUGAAGUCCACAGACUUGGGUUCGAUACCCGUUUGGCCUGGGGCAUGUGACUACACCCCUGUUUCCUCAUCUGUAAAAUGGGCUUAACGCUCCCUUUCUAACAGGGUUGCCAUGACAAUCACAGAGGGCAAAGCAUCUAUUUAACACACAUAUAUAUUUUUAAUUUGAGAGACAGAAUGAGAGAGAGAGAGCACGAGCCGGAGAAAGGGUCAAGGGAGAGGGAGAGACAGAUUCUUUUUAUUUUUUAAAUAUUUUUAUUUUAUUCUUGAGAGAGAGAGAGACAGCGCGAGAGCGGGGGAGGGCCAGAGAGAGAGGGAGACACAGACUCUGAAGCAGGCUCCAGGCUCAGAGCUGUUGGCACAGAGCCCGACGCGGGGCCUGAACCCAUGAACCGUGAUAUCAUGACCUGAGCCGAAGUCGGAUGCUUAACCGACUGAGCCACCCAGGCGACCCUUAACACACAUUUCUGAGCACCCCCUGUGUGACUGGCACUGAGCUGUGUGCUGGGUUAGUGUUAAGACAGAGUCUGGAUGGAAGAAGCCCACAGUCUAAAGGCCGAGAUA
RNAcentral lists this long non-coding RNA (1297 nucleotides) under Felis catus (domestic cat). RNAcentral describes it as "lncRNA (ENSFCAG00000048076.1)". Lineage: Eukaryota; Metazoa; Chordata; Mammalia; Carnivora; Felidae. The record is from RNAcentral.